UACGUAGGGUGCGGGCGUUAAUCGGAAUUACUGGGCGUAAAGCGUGCGCAGGCGGUUCGUUGUGUCGGCGGUGAAAGCCCCGGGCUCAACCUGGGAAUGGCCGUUGAAACUGGCGAACUGGAGUGUGGCAGAGGGGGGUGGAAUUCCGCGUGUAGCAGUGAAAUGCGUAGAGAUGCGGAGGAACACCGAUGGCGAAGGCAGCCCCCUGGGCUGACACUGACGCUCAGGCACGAAAGCGUGGGGAGCAAACAGG
Molecule: ribosomal RNA, 253 nt
Filed under: uncultured bacterium
Lineage: Bacteria
Description: partial 16S ribosomal RNA
Rfam family: Bacterial small subunit ribosomal RNA
Source: RNAcentral